Molecule: long non-coding RNA, 213 nt
Organism: Scomber japonicus (chub mackerel)
Lineage: Eukaryota; Metazoa; Chordata; Actinopteri; Scombriformes; Scombridae
Exons: 3
Source: RefSeq, a predicted model, not a curated record
AGCCAGACCAACCUGUUGGUAAACUCUCUACGGCCAUCCAUGGCAGUGUCAUUCCCAUUGUGACUGUGACUGUCAUCUUGGUCAUUGGAGCUCUGAUCUACAGAUGUAACGAAAACUUUAGGAUGAUGCUCGGACGAUGCAUGGGAAGAGAAGGAGAAGGAGAAGGACAGACGGAGCCAAACAAAGUUGAGCUGAAAAACCUGAUGAACCACG